Molecule: long non-coding RNA, 767 nt
Organism: Lagenorhynchus albirostris (white-beaked dolphin)
Lineage: Eukaryota; Metazoa; Chordata; Mammalia; Artiodactyla; Delphinidae
Exons: 3
Source: RefSeq, a predicted model, not a curated record
UUUUCCCCCUUUCUCUUGAUUUUCCAUUCUUAUGUCAGGUUUACCAACCUUAAUGAAGAAGAUGAAUUUUGGACCAAUAUCUUCAAAAUUGUUCACAAUAGAAGGAAUAUUCCCAUCCGAGGAGACUUCAUAAAAAUUUAUGGAUCUGUUGGAUGAUCUACAUAUUCCAUGCUGUAGGGGCUGGAGUGAUGUUAGAGAAAUCUGCGGUCACUGGACACUUUGAAGUGUGGCUCCUUGGGGAUACGCUGCUGCGUGUUUUCCAGGGGUCACUGAUCUGUGCUGCGAAGCUGCCUCAGUGUUUCAGCAGCUUUCACUAUUGAAAGGAACAUGAGGAAAUUACUGAAAGAGAAAUAUUAGAAAAGCCUCCCAUCAUUAAUUCAUGACUUCAUCAUGUUUUACCUUAAGGCUUGGAAACUGACAGAGGCCUGAUUCUGAAGGUUUUGAAGAUUGAAGUCGAAGUUAAUAGUGAAAGUCACCUAUACACAAAAUGAAAAUUCAUCAAUCUAUGACGCUUUGUGCUCCGGGACCAACAUGAAAAAAAAAAGUGGCCCAUAAAAGUAAACUCACUCCCAUUUGAUUCUGAAUUUUAUAAACCUUAAGCUUUAUAAUUUGUAGAAUAUCUAUGUAUUUGUCCACCUUGCCUUACCUUCAGAAUAGAACUGAAUUCACCUGACAUAUAUAUACAACACAUCACAGGCACUUACACUUAUCUGAAUUUGAAGGCUUUGUGCUGAUGUAAAAUUUGCUUACCAGGGGUUAAAAAUGAU